RNAcentral lists this long non-coding RNA (209 nucleotides) under Physcomitrium patens. Its description in RNAcentral is "long non-coding RNA (PPAT_LNC004421)". Lineage: Eukaryota; Viridiplantae; Streptophyta; Bryopsida; Funariales; Funariaceae. The record is from RNAcentral.
GUUUUUUAUAUGUACGCUACAUAGUUAGCUUCUUUGAAAGCUAUUAAAACAUUGUCAUAUUACGUAAAGUCUUACUUGAGAAUGCAUUGGACACUUAGCUAUAGAAGAUAAAAAAAAUUUCAAUAAUAAUUCCUAACCACUCAAAUAAAAUCGUAUAUAAAUUGGUUUUGAAGCUUAAUAAACAUAAUCAAGCAUCAAUUAAGUCCAAU